ACGUACACUCCUACGGGAGGCAGCAGUGGGGAAUAUUGGACAAUGGGCGCAAGCCUGAUCCAGCCAUGCCGCGUGAGUGAUGAAGGCCCUAGGGUUGUAAAGCUCUUUCACCGGUGAAGAUAAUGACGGUAACCGGAGAAGAAGCCCCGGCUAACUUCGUGCCAGCAGCCGCGGUAAUACGAAGGGGGCUAGCGUUGUUCGGAUUUACUGGGCGUAAAGCGCACGUAGGCGGACUAUUAAGUCAGGGGUGAAAUCCCGGGGCUCAACCCCGGAACUGCCUUUGAUACUGGUAGUCUUGAGUUCGAGAGAGGUGAGUGGAAUUCCGAGUGUAGAGGUGAAAUUCGUAGAUAGUCGGAGGAACACCAGUGGCGAAGGCGGCUCACUGGCGCGAUACUGACGCUGAGGUGCGAAAGCGUGGGGAGCAAACAGGAUUAGAAACCCCUGUAGUCCCAUGAU
RNAcentral lists this ribosomal RNA (456 nucleotides) under uncultured organism. Its description in RNAcentral is "partial 16S ribosomal RNA". It matches the Rfam family "Bacterial small subunit ribosomal RNA", at positions 329 to 801 of the family's 1533-position model. The record is from RNAcentral.